This 465-nucleotide ribosomal RNA is filed under the name uncultured bacterium. RNAcentral's name for it is "partial 16S ribosomal RNA". It matches the Rfam family "Bacterial small subunit ribosomal RNA", at positions 338 to 795 of the family's 1533-position model. The record is from RNAcentral.
CCUACGGGAGGCAGCAGUAGGGAAUCUUCCACAAUGGACGAAAGUCUGAUGGAGCAACGCCGCGUGAGUGAAGAAGGGUUUCGGCUCGUAAAGCUCUGUUGGUAGGGAAGAAAGAUAGAGGUAGUAACUGGCCUUUAUUUGACGGUAAUUACUUAGAAAGUCACGGCUAACUACGUGCCGGCGGCCGCGGUAAUACGUAGGUGGCAAGCGUUGUCCGGAUUUAUUGGGCGUAAAGCGAGUGCAGGCGGUUCAAUAAGUCUGAUGUGAAAGCCUUCGGCUCAACCGGGGAAUUGCAUCAGAAACUGUUGAACUUGAGUGCAGAAGAGGAGAGUGGAACUCCAGGUGUAGCGGUGGAAUGCGUAGAUAUAUGGAAGAACACCAGUGGCGAAGGCGGCUUUCUGGUCCGUAACUGACGCUGAGGCUCGAAAGCAUGGGUAGCGAACAGGAUUAGAUACCCCAGUAGUC